CCUACGGGAGGCUGCAGUGAGGAAUAUUGGUCAAUGGGCGCGAGCCUGAACCAGCCAAGUCGCGUGAGGGAAGACGGUCCUAUGGAUUGUAAACCUCUUUUGUCGGGGAGCAAAAGACGCCACGCGUGGCGUUCCGAGAGUACCCGAAGAAAAAGCAUCGGCUAACUCCGUGCCAGCAGCCGCGGUAAUACGGAGGAUGCGAGCGUUAUCCGGAUUUAGUGGGUUUAAAGGGUGCGCAGGCGGAAGAUUAAGUCAGCGGUAAAAUUGAGAGGCUCAACCCCGUCGAGCCGUUGAAACUGGUUUUCUUGAGUGAGCGAGAAGUAUGCGGAAUGCGUGGUGUAGCGGUGAAAUGCAUAGAUAUCACGCAGAACUCCGAUUGCGAAGGCAGCAUACCGGCGCUCAACUGACGCUCAUGCACGAAAGUGUGGGUAUCGAACAGGAUUAGAUACCCGGGUAGUC
Molecule: ribosomal RNA, 459 nt
Filed under: uncultured bacterium
Lineage: Bacteria
Description: partial 16S ribosomal RNA
Rfam family: Bacterial small subunit ribosomal RNA
Source: RNAcentral